RNAcentral lists this long non-coding RNA (230 nucleotides) under Olea europaea (common olive). RNAcentral describes it as "long non-coding RNA (OEUR_LNC005161)". Lineage: Eukaryota; Viridiplantae; Streptophyta; Magnoliopsida; Lamiales; Oleaceae. The record is from RNAcentral.
GUAAAACGGGGUUCGCUAUAUUUCAGGCGAAGGACCACUUGGAUGCCAUUCCUAUUGACGGAGAGGGCAGCGGUUCGAGCAAUGAGAGGGACGAUACAACAGGUACCGCAAGCAUGAACACUUCCAGCACUAGAAGCGGUGAGAAUUGACCGUCAUCCACUAAGGGCCAUAAGGGAAAGUAGAAGAAAAUUUCUGCUCGUGAGUUGUCCUACUCCGUAUAUUGAGCUACC